CCGGGUCGAGUCGGUUCCAGGUCAGGCCGAGGUCGGGUCCAGGUCGGAUUAGUUCCGGAUCGGGCCAGGGCCUUCAGGGAUGGGUCCGGGGAUGGGGCCGGGGCGGUCCGACAGGUUGGGUGGGGUCAGGACUGGUCGGGGUCGGGUUGGGUCGGUUUCGGGUUGGGCCUGAUCGGAUCGGACUGAAAUUAUUAUAAUUGUUGCAUAUUAUUUUUUAGUGUU
RNAcentral lists this long non-coding RNA (222 nucleotides) under Elaeis guineensis (African oil palm). RNAcentral's name for it is "long non-coding RNA (EGUI_LNC039297)". Lineage: Eukaryota; Viridiplantae; Streptophyta; Magnoliopsida; Arecales; Arecaceae. The record is from RNAcentral.